UUGGCAGCCCUGGAAUCUGAAAUCCUUUAUUUAUCCACCUAACAAGAAUAGCACAGACAGCAGCAGUUGGUUUUCCCCAACACUGUCUCCCAUGAGCCUAACCUAGGCCUGACCUUUUGGGACGUGCAGGAGCAUGGCUUUGGCCACUAGAAUACUUCCAUGGGGACCCACA
Molecule: small RNA, 172 nt
Filed under: Dasypus novemcinctus (nine-banded armadillo)
Lineage: Eukaryota; Metazoa; Chordata; Mammalia; Cingulata; Dasypodidae
Description: TUC338 (ENSDNOG00000037674.1)
Source: RNAcentral